RNAcentral lists this ribosomal RNA (500 nucleotides) under uncultured bacterium. RNAcentral describes it as "partial 16S ribosomal RNA". It matches the Rfam family "Bacterial small subunit ribosomal RNA", at positions 30 to 523 of the family's 1533-position model. The record is from RNAcentral.
AUUGAACGCUGGCGGCAGGCCUAACACAUGCAAGUCGAGCGGAUGACGGGAGCUUGCUCCUUGAUUCAGCGGCGGACGGGUGAGUAAUGCCUAGGAAUCUGCCUGGUAGUGGGGGACAACGUUUCGAAAGGAACGCUAAUACCGCAUACGUCCUACGGGAGAAAGCAGGGGACCUUCGGGCCUUGCGCUAUCAGAUGAGCCUAUGUCGGAUUAGCUAGUUGGUGGGGUAAUGGCUCACCAAGGCGACGAUCCGUAACUGGUCUGAGAGGAUGAUCGGUCACACUGGAACUGAGACACGGUCCAGACUCCUACGGGAGGCAGCAGUGGGGAAUAUUGGACAAUGGGCGAAAGCCUGAUCCAGCCAUGCCGCGUGUGUGAAGAAGGUCUUCGGAUUGUAAAGCACUUUAAGUAGGGAGGAAGGGCAGUAAGCUAAUACCUUGCUGUUUUGACGUUACCGACAGAAUAAGCACCGGCUAACUCUGUGCCAGCCGCCGCCGUAA